RNAcentral lists this ribosomal RNA (449 nucleotides) under uncultured bacterium. RNAcentral describes it as "bacterial SSU rRNA". It matches the Rfam family "Bacterial small subunit ribosomal RNA", at positions 330 to 793 of the family's 1533-position model. The record is from RNAcentral.
ACCAGACUCCUACGGGAGGCAGCAGUGGGGGAUAUUGCACAAUGGGGGGAACCCUGAUGCAGCGACGCCGCGUGGGUGAAGGAGCGUUUCGGCGCGUAAAGCCCUAUCGGCAGGGAAGAAGGAGGACGGUACCUGACUAAGAAGCCCCGGCUAACUACGUGCCAGCAGCCGCGGUAAUACGUAGGGGGCAAGCGUUAUCCGGAUUUACUGGGUGUAAAGGGAGCGUAGACGGCGCUGCAAGUCCGGAGUGAAAGUCCAUGGCUUAACCAUGGUACUGCUCUGGAAACUGUGGAGCUUGAGUGCGGGAGGGGCAGGCGGAAUUCCUAGUGUAGCGGUGAAAUGCGUAGAUAUUAGGAGGAACACCGGCGGCGAAGGCGGCCUGCUGGACCGUAACUGACGUUGAGGCUCGAAAGCGUGGGGAGCAAACAGGAUUAGAUACCCCGGUAAAA